This 1406-nucleotide ribosomal RNA is filed under the name Streptococcus sp. 2010_Ileo_MS_IIIc. RNAcentral's name for it is "bacterial SSU rRNA". It matches the Rfam family "Bacterial small subunit ribosomal RNA". Lineage: Bacteria; Bacillati; Bacillota; Bacilli; Lactobacillales; Streptococcaceae. The record is from RNAcentral. RNAcentral also lists the same sequence under 1 other name.
GUAGACGCUGAAGAGAGGAGCUUGCUCUUCUUGGAUGAGUUGCGAACGGGUGAGUAACGCGUAGGUAACCUGCCUUGUAGCGGGGGAUAACUAUUGGAAACGAUAGCUAAUACCGCAUAACAAUGGAUGACACAUGUCAUUUAUUUGAAAGGGGCAAUUGCUCCACUACAAGAUGGACCUGCGUUGUAUUAGCUAGUAGGUGAGGUAACGGCUCACCUAGGCGACGAUACAUAGCCGACCUGAGAGGGUGAUCGGCCACACUGGGACUGAGACACGGCCCAGACUCCUACGGGAGGCAGCAGUAGGGAAUCUUCGGCAAUGGGGGCAACCCUGACCGAGCAACGCCGCGUGAGUGAAGAAGGUUUUCGGAUCGUAAAGCUCUGUUGUAAGUCAAGAACGAGUGUGAGAGUGGAAAGUUCACACUGUGACGGUAGCUUACCAGAAAGGGACGGCUAACUACGUGCCAGCAGCCGCGGUAAUACGUAGGUCCCGAGCGUUGUCCGGAUUUAUUGGGCGUAAAGCGAGCGCAGGCGGUUUGAUAAGUCUGAAGUUAAAGGCUGUGGCUCAACCAUAGUUCGCUUUGGAAACUGUCAAACUUGAGUGCAGAAGGGGAGAGUGGAAUUCCAUGUGUAGCGGUGAAAUGCGUAGAUAUAUGGAGGAACACCGGUGGCGAAAGCGGCUCUCUGGUCUGUAACUGACGCUGAGGCUCGAAAGCGUGGGGAGCGAACAGGAUUAGAUACCCUGGUAGUCCACGCCGUAAACGAUGAGUGCUAGGUGUUGGAUCCUUUCCGGGAUUCAGUGCCGCAGCUAACGCAUUAAGCACUCCGCCUGGGGAGUACGACCGCAAGGUUGAAACUCAAAGGAAUUGACGGGGGCCCGCACAAGCGGUGGAGCAUGUGGUUUAAUUCGAAGCAACGCGAAGAACCUUACCAGGUCUUGACAUCCCGAUGCUAUUUCUAGAGAUAGAAAGUUACUUCGGUACAUCGGUGACAGGUGGUGCAUGGUUGUCGUCAGCUCGUGUCGUGAGAUGUUGGGUUAAGUCCCGCAACGAGCGCAACCCCUAUUGUUAGUUGCCAUCAUUCAGUUGGGCACUCUAGCGAGACUGCCGGUAAUAAACCGGAGGAAGGUGGGGAUGACGUCAAAUCAUCAUGCCCCUUAUGACCUGGGCUACACACGUGCUACAAUGGUUGGUACAACGAGUUGCGAGUCGGUGACGGCAAGCUAAUCUCUUAAAGCCAAUCUCAGUUCGGAUUGUAGGCUGCAACUCGCCUACAUGAAGUCGGAAUCGCUAGUAAUCGCGGAUCAGCACGCCGCGGUGAAUACGUUCCCGGGCCUUGUACACACCGCCCGUCACACCACGAGAGUUUGUAACACCCGAAGUCGGUGAGGUAACCUUUUGGAGCCAG